GAGCAUGUGGUUUAAUUCGAAGCAACGCGAAGAACCUUACCAGGUCUUGACAUCGAUCUAAAGGCUCCAGAGAUGGAGAGAUAGCUAUAGAGAAGACAGGUGGUGCAUGGUUGUCGUCAGCUCGUGUCGUGAGAUGUUGGGUUAAGUCCCGCAACGAGCGCAACCCCUGUUGCCAGUUGCCAGCAUUAAGUUGGGGACUCUGGCGAGACUGCCGGUGACAAGCCGGAGGAAGGCGGGGAUGACGUCAAAUCAUCAUGCCCCUUAUGACCUGGGCUACACACGUGCUACAAUGGACAGAGCAGAGGGAAGCGAAGCCGCGAGGUGGAGCGAAACCCAUAAAACUGUUCUCAGUUCGGACUGCAGUCUGCAACUCGACUGCACGAAGAUGGAAUCGCUAGUAAUCGCGAAUCAGCAUGUCGCGGUGAAUACGUUCUCGGGCCUUGUACACACCGCCCGUCACACCAUGAGAGUCGGUAACACCCGAAGCCGGUGGCCUAACCGCAAGGAAGGAGCUGUCUAAGGUGGGACUGAUGAUUGGGGUGAAGUCGUAACAAGGUAUCCCUACGGGAACGUGGGGAUGGAUCACCUCCUUUCUAGGGAGA
RNAcentral lists this ribosomal RNA (602 nucleotides) under Coprobacillus sp. AF13-4LB. Its description in RNAcentral is "bacterial SSU rRNA". It matches the Rfam family "Bacterial small subunit ribosomal RNA", at positions 935 to 1533 of the family's 1533-position model. Lineage: Bacteria; Bacillati; Bacillota; Erysipelotrichia; Erysipelotrichales; Coprobacillaceae. The record is from RNAcentral.